GACGAACGCUGGCGGCGUGCCUAAUACAUGCAAGUUGAGCGCUGAAGGUUGGUACUUGUACCAACUGGAUGAGCAGCGAACGGGUGAGUAACGCGUGGGGAAUCUGCCUUUGAGCGGGGGACAACAUUUGGAAACGAAUGCUAAUACCGCAUAAAAACUUUAAACACAAGUUUUAAGUUUGAAAGAUGCAAUUGCAUCACUCAAAGAUGAUCCCGCGUUGUAUUAGCUAGUUGGUGAGGUAAAGGCUCAACAAGGCGAUGAUACAUAGCCGACCUGAGAGGGUGAUCGGCCCAAUUGGGACUGAGACAACGCCCAAAAUCCUACGGGAGGCAGCAGUAGGGAAUCUUCGGCCAUGGGCGAAAGUCUGAACGAGCAACGCCGCGUGAGUGAAGAAGGGUUUCGGAUCGUAAAACUCUGUUGGUAGAGAAGAAAGUUGGUGAGAGUGGAAAGCUCAUCAAGUGACGGUACCUACCCAGAAAGGGACGGCUAACUACGUG
This 497-nucleotide ribosomal RNA is filed under the name uncultured bacterium. Its description in RNAcentral is "partial 16S ribosomal RNA". It matches the Rfam family "Bacterial small subunit ribosomal RNA", at positions 28 to 507 of the family's 1533-position model. The record is from RNAcentral.